RNAcentral lists this ribosomal RNA (395 nucleotides) under uncultured bacterium. RNAcentral describes it as "partial 16S ribosomal RNA". It matches the Rfam family "Bacterial small subunit ribosomal RNA", at positions 523 to 918 of the family's 1533-position model. The record is from RNAcentral.
AUACGUAGGGUGCAAGCGUUAAUCGGAAUUACUGGGCGUAAAGCGUGCGCAGGCGGUUUUGUAAGACAGUGGUGAAAUCCCCGGGCUCAACCUGGGAACUGCCAUUGUGACUGCAAGGCUGGAGUGCGGCAGAGGGGGAUGGAAUUCCGCGUGUAGCAGUGAAAUGCGUAGAUAUGCGGAGGAAAACCGAUGGCGAAGGCAAUCCCCUGGGCCUGCACUGACGCUCAUGCACGAAAGCGUGGGGAGCAAACAGGAUUAGAUACCCUGGUAGUCCACGCCCUAAACGAUGUCAACUGGUUGUUGGGGAUUUAUUUUCUCAGUAACGAAGCUAACGCGUGAAGUUGACCGCCUGGGAAGUACGGCCGCAAGGUUAAAACUCAAAUGAAUUGACGGGG